RNAcentral lists this long non-coding RNA (235 nucleotides) under Setaria italica (foxtail millet). RNAcentral's name for it is "long non-coding RNA (SITA_LNC006373)". Lineage: Eukaryota; Viridiplantae; Streptophyta; Magnoliopsida; Poales; Poaceae. The record is from RNAcentral.
AACACAUGGCCAAGGGCCCAAGGCGGCAAUGGCAGCAACACCCUCGCCGGACUGAAUCCCGCCGGCCGCCGUCACCGUCAGGUAUCCCCGCUCCACUCUGCAGUGCAGAGAAAAUGCCUCACGUACGCGCUCGGGCAUCACCUUCGCCGAGCCAGAGGUCCCUCACCAUCUCAGCCCACGGCGCUAGCCGCUAGCGACGGCGCCGGCGGCUGAAUCGCCGCAGUCCAUGUGCGGA